Molecule: long non-coding RNA, 156 nt
Organism: Sapajus apella (tufted capuchin)
Lineage: Eukaryota; Metazoa; Chordata; Mammalia; Primates; Cebidae
Exons: 2
Source: RefSeq, a predicted model, not a curated record
UCCUCAGAGAGCGCGGCUGUCAUUUUUCCGAGAGUUUUCCAAAGACUGCUGGCUGGAAGCUUAUGGCUAAUGUGGAGACCGUAGUUUGCCAAAUUAAGAAAACGGUUCUUAACCGAAGACCCCAUCUCAGGAGAAGGUGAGGAUGGAGGUAUGGAG